RNAcentral lists this small RNA (14907 nucleotides) under Caenorhabditis elegans. Its description in RNAcentral is "Unclassified non-coding RNA Y69A2AR.54". Lineage: Eukaryota; Metazoa; Nematoda; Chromadorea; Rhabditida; Rhabditidae. The record is from RNAcentral.
GCAGUCCGAUGAGAACUGCAAGACGCCCACGUCAGCUCCAGCAGAAUCAUCUUCAACUGCAGGAAUUAUUGGAGGAGUUGUUGCUUUGGUGGUGGUAUGUGCUCUUGCAGUGCUCUUCUUCUUCUGCUGGAGAAAUCGUAAGAAGGAGAAGCCGAAGGUCGUCAGGAAAGCACCACUUAGAGCACCCAUCCGUCCCAGACAGCCGCCGAAUCAGAAUAUCAAGCCUAUUACGGUAUCGAUUAUUUACUGAAAAAAUCAAUAAUAUUUCUAAAUUAUUGAUUUUUCAGCCUGCGACUCCCACACCAUCUCAGCCAUCAGAGGAAAAUAAGGCUGCAUUGGCCAAGCAGAUUGAAAUGAUGAAAAUCCGGGCCCACAUGAGAAAGGCAGAAGAGCGGCACAAGUGGGACACGAGAACCUCUAAGUUCAAAAAAAAAGGAGCAAUCUUUAUCCCGAUGGAGCCGGACGUACGUUUAUUUAUUGUUUUAAUAUUGAAAUUGAAGCCAGCAUGUCGACGGAUUUGAUUUGAAUAUAAUCAUGACUAGUUCCCUCAAUUUUGAGAAUUAUGGGUCUCACCGCGAAGGUUACAGUAGCUUUGCACGGAGAGACCUGUGAUGUUUAAAUUGAGCGGAUUCUAGUCAUUUUUAUACUUAAAUUGAAACCACUGACUUGAUAUAUUGAAAUAAUUUUCAAAAAAUAUCAAUAAACUUUUGCAGAUCUUGCCAGCUGGUCCACUCCCCAACGACAUCGUUCUGAAGAAAGUGGAGUAUGAUCCAUCCGGCAAUGAGAUGUUUGAUAUUGGAUCCGAUGUCGAUGACAUCGAGCUGGAUGCGUCUUUUAUUGUGGAUCCAAGCACGAUCACGGAGGACGAGCCAACGAAGAACACACCAUCGACAAAGGGAACGGAGACAACAGAGGAUACAAAGAAGCCGACGGGAGGAAAUAAGAAGAAAUAAGAGACUGAUGGAAUUGAUUUGAGAACAGUUAUUUCAUUCAAUCAAUAAAUGAUUUUACUAGAUUCCGAUUUUUUUGGCUUUACACAUACAGUUUGCAGCUUUUCAGAAAAUCAGUUGCAAAUUUAACGGAAAUCGAGAAUAAAAAUUGAAUUAGUUCUCGAUUCUGAAAUUUUCGAAACGGACGAUUUUUGAUGACAAGUGAGUUUAUUUUGCUACUUUGAAACGAUGCUCCGAGGUUCCAAUGGGGGUGCUCUUUUCGAUGCUCCUGCAUUUCAAGUGUUGUUUAGCAACAGAAAAAGCGGGAAUUCAAAAUUUCGAAUGAGAAGCAGGGUCCAGCGGCUGGCUGAUUUUUUCGGCUGGCGCCGACAGCUGACUGCUCACAAUUUUUCGGCUGUCGGCUGGUGCUCAGUCGGCUGUCGGCUGGUGCUACAAGCCGAAAAUCACCAAAUUUUCGGCUGGCGGUUGGCUGCGCAAUCUUAUAUAUAUAUGUUCAAUUUGUCUUUCAGGGUUCACUGGUGGAGCAAAGGAGAAGACGGCGGCUACGGAGGAGUCCAAUGAAAAGAAGAUUAAUUUUAAUGAACUAUUUUAAUUAUAUAUAUAUGUUGUUUUUUUAAACAAUAUUAUUGAUUAGGGCUUUAAAAACGCCAAAAACGUUUGUUUAUUAUUUUGAAACUAAACUUAAAUCUUUAUUGAUGCAGCGAGCCCAUUCCAGCAAUAUUCGGCAACUCGCCAAAUGUUCCAUUCAUCUUUUGAAAUUUCUCAACAAAAUUGGCGAUUUCCGACUGUUUCAGCAAUUUGAAGCAAUAUUUAAUAUUUUUAAACAAAUUUGUUAAUUUCGGCGUCCUUGGAAGCUUACGAUACUUUGUCAACUUUCGAUUAUAGUUGGCAACUUUUGGAACAUUUUUGGCAAUUUCUGAAAGCUCUCCGCAAUCGGCGGCAAUUUUAACAGCUUCUGACAUUCAUCGUAAAAUGUAUAGCAAGUUGAUAAAUAGAGGUCUUUAAUAGCAAACAAGUUUGAUAUUUUUUGUCCAUUUCUGGCAACUUCCGACAGCUUUCAGAGAUUUCCUCCUAUUGUUAAAAAUUUUCGACAUCUUUCCCCAGCUUUCUGUAGCUGUUGAAGUUUUUUCCACGAGUAACGGUAGACUAGGGCUUCUAUGAGAGGUAGGCGCGGUUUCAGUGCUUGACACCUGCCUCCAGCCUGCCUGCCUCAACAAUAUGAAAAGAGACUGAUGGGAUUGAUUUGAGAACAGUCGUGAGAUUUGAAUAAAACUAACUGGUAUCUUACAAUUAUUAAAUUCGAUCAAUAAACGAUUUUACUAAAUUCCGAUUUUUUGGCUAUAAACAUACAGGGUGACAAUUAAUUGUAGCAACAGAAUUCGCGCUCUUUUGCACAGUUACAUUUGUCAUUAUAUGCAAUUUUUUUUAUUUUAAACAAUUUUAUCUGACCCAUGUUUUCAAUGAAGUUAUGGGGGUUAAAACAAAAAAAAGAUUUUCACUGCCAUUUAACGGGAAUUGGAGGAGCUCCAGGAGCUCAAAAUAAUUCCAAAGUUAAACUGUAACUGGUAUUUUAUAUUUUCGAAGUCUUAUCUUGUGAACAUAACAUCCCAAGCCAGCAGAUACAAAAAAUUAUGAUCUGGUUUAACAGAUUCCGUCAAUUGACCGGUAUGGCUGAUAUUGUAGGUUUUGUCAUUACUAAUAGUCUUCUAUACAAUGCAAAAAACCUGGAUAACACUCAUUGGACGGGCUAAUAGUUUUUUUCCUCUAUUGCUUCUGGGGUCUCCUUGGGGACGAGAAGACAAUGGCGCCCCUACUUGCCGACAGUUUACUGUCACUCCCCACUGUGCACAUGAUGCCUCAGUAAGCUCAAUAAACAGGGUGCCAUCGCGAUGUGAGCAUCACAAAACGACAAUUCGUAGAGGCCACAUGAGUGCAUUACGCCCCAAAUGAAAUAAAAAUUUGAAAAAAUAUCAACAGAUUCGUUUCCACUUUAGUACCAUUUUCAGGAAAAAAAAUCUACUUUGUGAGAAGUUUUUGAUUUUAGAAAAAUUGUGGCCUGUGGAAAAAAUCGUGGCACAAAAAUUUUCGAUUUUCAGCAGACCCUACAAUAUCAGCCAUACCGGUCAAUUGACGGACUCUGUUAAACCAGAUCAUACUUUUUUGUAUCUGCUGGCUUGGGAUGUUAUGUUCACAAGAUAAGACUUCGAAAAUAUAAAAUACCAGUUACAGUUUAACUUUGGAAACAUUUUGAGCUCCUGGAGCUCCUUCAAUUCCCCUUAAAUGGCAGGGAAAAUGUUGUUUUUUUUUAAUUUGGACCCCCAUAACUUCAUUGAAAACAUGGGUCAGAUAAAAUUGUUUAAAAAAAUUGCAUAUGAUGACAAAUGUAACUACCGUAGUCUGUGCAAAAGAGCGCGAAUUCUGUUGCUACAAUUAAUUGUCACCCUGUAUGUUUAUAGCCAAAAAAUCGGAAUUUAGUAAAAUCGUUUAUUGAUCGAAUGUAAUAAUUGUAAGAUACCAGUUAGUUUUAUUCAAAUCUCACGAAUAUUUUCAAAUCAAUCCCAUCAGUCUCUCUUCUUAUUUUUACUAUUUCCUCCCUGCGACUCCUUUGUAUCCUCCGUUUUUUCCGUUCCCUUUGUUAAUGGUCAACACUGAAAAACAAAUUCAAAAUAUACAUGGGAUUGAUUUUGAUUUUUUUUAAACAAAAAAUCAAUAACUUUGCGGUCUCUCAUUCAAAAUUUUGAAUUCCCGCUUUUUCUGUUGCUAAACAAGACUCUUGAAAUGCAGGAGCAUCGAAAAGAGCACCCCCAUCGGGACCUCGGAGUAUCGUUUAAAAGUAUAAAAAUAAAAAAAACUCACUUGUCAUUAAGAAUCGCCCGUUUCGAAGAUUCCACAAUCGAGAACUGAUUUAAUUUUUGAUACUUUCAAUUCAAAUUUAAAAAAAAAGAUUGCGUGGCAGGAGUUCACGGUGAAAUUGAAUUUUUUUGAAUGAAAUUUCAAAAGAAAAUAUCGAUUUUGAUCCCUAAAAUUAAUUUAAUUUAAUUUAAUUGAAUUUAAUUUAUUACGAUAGUAAGAUAUCUUGAGUUAAAACAAAGACACAUAAUAAUUAAUACAAACCAUCACAAGUGGUUACAUAAACAAAAAUGGAAAAAACAAUAAGAAAGAGACAAGAAAAAAACGUAAUGGCUACAGUGAAGAAGCAACAAGAAGCACAAAAUAAAUGGGUAAAAAGCAGGAAUAACUGAUGAAUAAAAGUGAAGAUAAGGUAACAUUAGAUCAGUGUUGUUUCAUUGUAGGUAGUGUUCUGUUAACAAAAAAGUGCCUCCUGAGUUUAGUGCUCCAGACAUAUUUAUUUUUAGAACGAGUGCGGGUCUCGUGAUGUUCAAAUAACUCAGAUGUUUUAAGUCCACUUUACCAGAGUUCAUUCUGAUUACUUGGAUUCUGUCAAUUAUUUUGCGUCUUGUGCUCAAGGUUUGGAUGUGGAACAACUCGUUACGUUCUAUGUCUAAUUUGUAAUCUUUAUCGGUUGGAUUAAUUUUUUUUUUUUGAUUCUACUAUAAAGGCGUCUAGUGAAUGCGUUUUGUACAAAUUCUAUGGUUUUCUCGUCCGAUUUUUUCAACGGAGAAGACACUACAGUCUCAUAUUCUGAACGGGGACGGAUGAAAGUUUUGUAUAAGAGAGUCAUUAGUUUCGCAUUGGAGGUACUGUACUGGUUGAAUAUGUUGAGGUUAUUACAAAAAAUAACAAACAUUUCCGAUUUCCUUCAAGCAUUUUCUUGAAAAGUUACUUGCGGCAAAAAUGAAAAUUUUCAUGGUGCAUCUGUGAGCUCGUUGUUGUCAGAGAGAAUCUAAUUUUGUGAAAUAUUGAUGAAUUUCUGAUUGUGAAUACCGUAUAUCUCCUAUUAAUAUGGCCUCCCUAUUAGACUUGCACUCCCUAUUAGUAUUGCCCCUCGGAGACCUUCCGAAAAUUAGUAUGGCACUCCCUAAUAGCCUUGCGUUUACUCUUUUUUAUUGCAGGCCCGUCUUCAGGAUUUCAACGAAAAAAUUUGCCUAUUUUGCAACAGUUUUUCACAACAUUUCUGCGAGAUUGAAGUUUUUGAACUUAUAUGUUACAAUUAAAAUCAAAUUUUCUGAAUUUUUACAUAAGAUUCGAGCUUUUUCAGAAAAAAACUAGUAAGCUCAAAGUCAGAAAAAUGUUCUGAAAAUUAGUAUUGCACUCCCUAAUAGUCCCUAUUAGUAUUGCAAGCGGGAAGGCCAUCGAAAAAUAGUAUUGCAGCCAUAUUAAUAGAAGAAAUACGGUAGUUGUUUGCUGUUCAGUUAAAUCUUUGUGGAAUUAUCUUUAUUCUGAACAUUUUUAUGACAACAAAAGAGUGUUGCUAUAAUAAUUUGUCACUAGCUUUCAUGAAAAUCGAUAUGUUUCAAGGAAAUCUGUGUAAUUUUAGGGAUGAAAAUCAAUUUUUUUUUGAAAUUUAAUUCGAAAAAAAUUAAAUCUCCCCGUGAACUCCUGCCACUCAAUGUAAUUUUUCAAAUUUGAGUUGAAAAUAUCAAAAAUUAAAUCAGUUCUCGAUUGUGGAAUCUUCGAAACGGGCGAUUCUUAAUGACAAGUGAGUUUAUUUUGCUACUUUUAAACAAUGCUUCGAUGCUCCGAUGGGGGUGCUUUUUUUUCGAUGCUCCUGCAUUUCAAGAGUGUUGUUCAGCAUCAGAAAGAGCGAAAAAUAAAAAAUUUUGAAUGAAAGACAGCGAAGUUAAUUUCACACAGCUUUAUUGUUUUGAUUGGUGGCGGUGUUUACCGAGAAGCAGCAUGUUUGAAGAAAACCAUCAAUUGAAAAUGUUCAGGUACUGAAUCAAUGUCUACUAUGCUUACGAUAUUCAUAUCAACAAAGGUCAACAGAGGAUACAAAAGCGUCGAAGAGUGGAAACAAGAAAAAUAAGAAGAGAGACUGAUGGGAUUGAUUUGAGAACAGUCGUGAGAUUUGAAUAAAACUAACUGGUAUCUUACAAUUAUUGCAUUCGAUCAAUAAACGAUUCAAUUAAAAUCCAAGUUUUUGGUUUUACGCACACAGUUUGCAGAAAUGGAUAGUUUUCAGAAAAUCAAGGAAAACAGUACAAUUUUUAGCGAUGAAAAUCGAUAUUUUCUUUUGAAAUUUCAUUUAAAAAAAUUUAAUUUUACCGUGAAUUCCUGCCACGCAAUGUGUUGUUUUUCAAAUUUGAUUUGAAAAUAUCAAAAAUUUGAUUAGUUCUCGAUUCUGGAUUCUUCGAAACGAAUGAUUCAUGAUGACACGUAAGUUUAUUUUUCUACUUUCAAACCAUGCUCUGAGGUUCCGAUGAGGGUGCUCUUUCCGAUGCUCCUGCAUGUCCAGAACGUUGUUUAGCAUUAGAAAGAGCGGGAAUUCGAAAUUUUGAGUGAGAAAUUGCAAAUUAUUGAUUUUUUGUUCAAAAAAGCUCAAAUCAAUCCUAUGUUUAUGUUGAAUUUGUCUUUCAGGGUUGACCAUCAACGAAGGGAACAGAAACAACGGAGGAUGCAAAGGAGUCGCAGGAAGGAAAUAAGAAGAAUAAGAAGAGAGACUGAUGGAAUUGAUUUGAAAAUAUUCGUGAGAUCUUAAUGAGAAUAACUGGUAUCUUACAAUUUUCACAUUCGAUUUAAUAAACGAUUUUAUCGAAAAGUUAUUUUGAUUUUUGUUCACAUUGAAUAACAUUUUUCUAAAAUCGAAAACUUCUAGCAAAGUAGAUAUUUUCCCUGAAAAUGGUACUAAAGUGGAAACGAAUCUGUUGAUAUUUUUUCAAAUUUUUAUUUCAUUAGGGGCAUAAUGCUCUCAUGUGCUCUCUACGAAUAGUCGUUUUGUGAUGCAUCGCGAUGGCACCCUGUUUAUUGAGCUUACUGAGACAUUAAGUGCACAUCACGGGAGUGCGGCAAAUCUCAAAAUUUGAAGAGGUCGGCAAAUUCGGAAAAUUGGGCAUAUUUGCCGCCCCUGGACGAAAGCUUGCUAUGUGCCAAGUGAAAGAUAUAUGUUGCAUUACUAGAAUGUCCAAAUAUCUUGCCGCUAAGCGGUAUAAAGUUGCCCAUGUAUUGUGCAAUCUAUAUCUGUAACUUGGCACAUAUCGACAUACAUGUUAUCCACCUUUUCACUGCCGCCCAACUUCCAGAUUAUUGAAAAAAAUUAUCGAUUUUUUUUUGCAAUUCUUUCUGAAAUCAAAACCUUUGUAUGGGUAGAGGUAAUAGGCAGUGAGUUUAAUGAAAUUAUUAAAUUCCAAAUUCAGAAAUAGCUGAUUCUUUUCAAUUUCAGAUGAUUCAACAUCUUUCCAAAGUUCCGAAAAUGCUUACAAAAAUUCAUUUGAGCGGCGUAAAAAAAUUGCCGAAAAUGUUCUAAAAAAUGCCAAAUAUCGUCGAAAGUUCACAAAAUGUGUCUAAAGUUUCCGAAGACGCUGAAGGUUAUGAAGGUUAUUGAAAUUGUCGGUAACAGUCAAGUUUGUCGAAAAAGUUUAAAAUAAAUAGUUGGAACAUCUGAGAGCAACCGACUUUUGCCGGAAUGGGCUGGCUGCAUCCAUAAAGCUUUUAAGUUUAGUUUCAAAAUAUCAAACAAAAGUUUUUGGCGUUUUUAAAGCCCUAAUCAAUAAUAUUAUUGAAAUCAAUAUUUACAAAAAAACCAACAAAUAAAUAAUUAAAAUAGUUAGAUAAAAUUAAUCCUCUUUCAUUGAACUCCUUCGUAUCCUCCGUCUCUUCCUUUGCUCCACCAGUCGAGUCAACCCUGAAAGACAAAUUCAAUAUAAACAUAGGAUUGAUUUGAGCUUUUUUGAACAAAAGCCAAUAAUUUGCAAUUUCUCACUCAAAAUUUCGAAUUCCCGCUCUUUCUAAUGCUAAACAACGUUCUGGACAUGCAGGAGCAUCGAAAAGAGCACCCUCAUCGGAAGUUCCGAUUCGGAACCUCAGAGCAUGGUUUGAAAGUAGCAAAAUAAACUUACGUGUCAUCAUAAAUCGUUCGUUUUGAAGAAUUCAGAAUCGAGAACUAAUCAAAUUUUUGAUAUUUUCAAAUCAAAUUUGGAAAAACAACACAUUGCGCGGCAGGAGUUCACGGUAAAAUGUAAUUUUUUUCGAAUGAAAUUUCAAAAGAAAAUAUCGAUUUUCAUCGCUAAAAGUUGUACUGUUUUCCUUGAUUUUCUGAAAACUAUCCAUUUCUGCAAACUGUGUGCGUAAAACCAAAACCUUGGAUUUUAAUAGAAUCGUUUAUUGAUCGAAUUUAAUAAUUGUAAGAUACCAGUUAGUUUUAUUCAAAUCUCACGACUGUUCUCAAAUCAAUCCCAUCAGUCUCUCUUCUUAUUCUUUUUAUUUCCACCCUUCGACGUUUUUGUAUCCUCUGUUGACCUUUGUUGAUAUGAAUAUCGUAAGCAUAAAAUCUUCUGAUAAAAAACAUUAUAAAAAAUAGGAGCGUUUUAGAAAAUUUAAAUUUUUCGUUGAAAAAUAUUUUUUUGUUGGAAAAUCCUCAAAUAGUGUGAAACAUUGGCAAUUUCUUGAAGAAAAAAGUGUAAAUUGACCGAGACUUUUUUUGAUAAUUGAUAUACUGUUAGAAAAAAAGACACAUUUUGGAAAAUUCAAUAAAUGUUAGGAAAAAUCCAAAUGUUUAUUUUAGAGAAACAGUGAGCCUUACUUAAUUUCCAUUUAUUUUAUAAACAGUUCUGAGUUUUUUUAGCUAAAGGUUUCGAAUAUCUUUUUAUUUCAGAAAGAUCGAGAUGAUCAGCCGUUUCCUUGGUUCGAGAUUUUUUUUACCAUAAUUCCAAUUUUUGUGCUUUGUUUUUGCCUUCUGUGUAAGAGUAAUAUUUAGAAAACGAGGAUCUGGCGGAAUUAAAAAGUAUCGUUGCCUUUAUGAAUCAUGAUAAUGAAUAUUUGAAUUAUUCGAAUGUCUACGUGUGUUAUUUUUUGUGGAAAAUUGAUAUAAACUAACUUAAUUUCCAGUUAAAUGUUAUAAUCUUUUAAAAGUAUUUAUAAAUUUCCUUGACAGCAAAAAAAUUAAAAUUUAAUAUUUUCACUGUUUUUGACAGCUGAAUUGCAUAUUUCGGGUAUUUGUAUCAAUAAGAAGUUUCACUCCAAAGUAAAUAAAAAUUGCUUUUCCGAGUAAAGCCACUUGCACGGAAAUUCGAAUUUCGCAUUUUUUUGGUUUUUCUCCUACUUUCAUGUUGUUUCUCAAAAUCUAAUUGUAAGCAAAAUUAUACUUCUCUGGAGAAACAAAAUUUCAGAAUGAAUUUAAAAAUUUUUUAAUGAUAAAUAUUUUGUAGUUUAUUACUGGUCGUCGGCCACAAACAAAAUCUACAAAAUAGAGUAAAAAAUGACUAAGACUUGCGUUUUGGAUGCUGUGAUACAACAGUUAUUGCAGAAAUUCGCAACUUCUUUUCAGAUUUUAGUAACUGUUUAGCCAAGUUUUGCCAACCUUAGAACUUUUCAGUGCCAAUUUCUGAGAGAAUCCCCAACUUUCAUCAAUUUUACCCAACUUUAAAGGUCUGCAAGAGUGCUUCAAAACCUGGGUUGGGAAGACUUUUGAUGUUUUUUAGGAUGACUGAGUGUAGGUUAACAUUCAGAAAACCUUGGCGGAAUGAAAUGUAGACAUUUUCUUGAUCGACAUAAAAAUCUACACAAUUUUUGGAGUAAUUUUGCAGUCACCUAUUUCAACGGCUCUUUUUUUUUAAAGUAGAACCUGUUAUAUAUUUCCAUUUUUUCUAAAACUUCAUUGGUUUUCAAAGUGUUGUGAGUUCUAGUAAGCAGUAAAAAUGACAAAUGCGGAGACAAUUCCAAUUGACAGCGAGAUGAUCGAAGACUGAUGACUUUGAAGAGAAGUUUGUUCCACCGGAGCUGACGUGGCCACAUCCAAUUUUGAAUUCGAUUUCUGAAAACAGAAAGUUCAUAUUGAUUAAAAUACUACAUUAAGAAUGCAAAAAAUCUAAAUUGUGCGCAAUCAUAAUUUUUGUAACUAAACGUUGACUCUGAAUUUAUGAAAUAAAAUUGAUCCGUCAGAGCUUAGCAGACUAAUCUAAAGCUGUUUGAAAAUCACCUUCAUCGAAGUAGUAGGGAAUGUAGUUGUCACCGUGGUUGUGGGUUCAGGAGUCGUUGCUGUAAAUUGAGUUUUUAACAAUUUGAAUGAAAUUGAAGAUUCAAAACAUACUGCAAUCGGCAUCAACAGGCUUGUCACAACCUUCACCAGAGAGUCCUAAAAAAAGUGAAUGAUUUAUCGAAUUGUGAAAAAUUAAAACAAACUAGGACAUCUCAAGUCUCUAAACUCAAAUUCAUCAAUGCACAGGUAUUUUGCUUCUGCCUCAGUCAUUGCUUAAAAAAUAUUUUUGGAAUAAAAAGUUAGAAAAUUGUCAUACUCGUAUUGUGAUUGCAAUCAUGGUCGGUGUCUUUGUAACACCCUGCACCAAUAUCCCCUGCAAUUAUUUUUUUCAAUAAUAGAAUCACAUUGUCAAUUUUUGGCAGAAUAACACACCACUUUUUACAACGCAUGCCCAAAUCCAUUUCUUUAUUUCAGCGUGAUGCAACUUGCAGAGUGCGCGGUUUGGAUAAAUAGGCAAGAAUCCUGAAAAGUAUAUUUUAUCGACUUUUCAGAAAUUAGAAAAUUUGUUGAAUACCAAGACGCAUUGAGUAACAUUGGCAAUCAUUGGUAUACUUUUUGCAGAAAUCCGUGCCAUAUGAUGCUGUCGGUGGGAUAGCUGAAAAUUGAAAGCUUUAUUCAAAGUACAGAAAAAAACUAUUAAACUUACGUUUUACACACGCAGGAUCACCUGCUGCAUAACACACUUCUGGAUCUGAAAAAUCAAUAAGUUCUAAAGAGCAUGCUGCCUGAGAAUUAAAAUAUUUCAGAGAUAGAUUCAGAUGGAUUGACAUUAGAAAUAAUCACUGUACAACGACGAAAAUUUUCUGAAAUCCUGAUAGAAGCAUAGGCUUAAAACAGUUAUUUUCAAAAUCAGCAGGAUAAAUUAUCGAUUUUCCUGAUAACAAACCAUGUGUUGUAUUGACAUUAUUGCACAAGUUCCUAUCGGCAUGCUUUGGUGCGAUAGUACAGUACCAGAUCGUUCCUAAAAAUAUAGACGUAUAUUAUGAAAUGAAUAUAAUGAAACGACUGAUUUCCUACCCGGACACCUGUGAUCUUGCUUAAAAUCCUGACACUUUUGAUUAAUUUCCUCCUGUUUGAGUGCUGAAAUUAUAAAUUAGGGAAUAUGUUCAAGAAUAACUUACGGAAAUGACAGUCCUUAUCAGUGAUUUUGAGACAAUUAUCACCUGGUUCACUCCCUGAAAAAAAUUGAUUAUUCUUUAAAAAUUGUCGAGUUCUCAUUUGAAAAUUAUAGAAUUUAUUCAAUAUAAAUACAAAAACUGAGAGAUCUUAUUCAUUUUUUUGUAAAAAAAACAUUUUCUGAAAACGAUCAGUUUUUGAAAUCAAUGUGUACCUGGGCAACGCGGGUCUUUUUUGUUCGCAUCCAUAUUACAAUAUGAAGUUCCAUCUGAUGAAUCGGCUUCGAAAACUGAAAGGUAAUUACAUUUUUGUGUGAGUUUCUUGUAUUGCUCCAACUUACCACACUUUUUAUUUACUGAUGGAUCGCAUGGUUGUUUUUUGGUAGAUGUGUCUAAAAUUUUAUAGUAAUUUAUUAUGUGAUUUCUAUUCAAAAGUAUUAACAGCUAGUCUGAUUGACAAUGUUUUAUACGAUUUUUGAAAAGUUAAAAAAUCUCCGUUGUCCCCUAAUUCCUAUUUGAAUCAAUUGGGUUUGUGCGAUGGUGGUGAAAUAUUUUUGAAAAUAUUUACCUUUACAUGUACCGAGGGGGCGCCACCUUUGCUAAACUAUACAGCUUUACAGCUUUUGCUAUACAGCUCUCAGGCAAACGAUACCACGCAGGCGCGCGCUCCCAUCAAGCAGGAGAUGGCGGGCUCUGGCAUGGUGGGAACGCGCGCCUGUGUGGUUUCGUUUGCCUGCGAUAAUGAGGCUGUAUAGCAAAAGUGACGCGCCUUUUCGAAAGGCGCCCGUAAGGCGCCGGGAAUUUUCUCCCACCGAGCGUUUAAAAUUGACAGAAUUUGAUUUAGGUACUUGCUUUACGCUCACAACUUAAAAGUGGUCUAAUGUUUUAUAAAAAUAUGACAACGCUAAUUGCUUUUAUCACAUUUUUCGAAACGAACCUUGACGUUUUCCGAUGCUUUUGAAUCCAAUAUUCGAAUCCUUAAACUGAAAAUCAGUGCUCUUGGUACCAAAAUCAACAUUUUCAUGAACCGUCAAAGCGUCCAAAUUUUGAGGCAUUGCGGUUGUUAACCUUAAAAACCUUUAAAAACCUUGGUUAAAAAAUAGAAGAUUCAAUCAGUUCUUGAUUUUGAUUUUUUGAAAGUGACGGGUUCCCUUCGAAAUUUCAACUCAGUCGUGUGAUUAAGUAAGUUUUCAAUUUAACAAACUAGAUUUAUCGUGGUCUUCGAUAUUCAGAGAGAAUUUUCUAAAUUUUUUUCUGCACUUUUAUGUUAUUGACUGAAAUUUUGCAGGACUCAUAGAAAAAUGGCUCAUCAUUGCACUGAUUUUCAGUUUAAGGAUUCGAAUAUUGGAUUCAAAAGCAUCGGAAAACGUCAAGGUUCGUUUCGAAAAAUGUGAUAAAAGCAAUUAGCGUUGUCAUAUUUUUAUAAAACAUUAGACCACUUUUAAGUUGUGAGCGUAAAGCAAGUACCUAAAUCAAAUUCUGUCAAUUUUAAACGCUCGGUGGGAGAAAAUUCCCGGCGCCUUACGGGCGCCUUUCGAAAAGGCGCGUCACUUUUGCUAUACAGCCUCAUUAUCGCAGGCAAACGAAACCACACAGGCGCGCGUUCCCACCAUGCCAGAGCCCGCCAUCUCCUGCUUGAUGGGAGCGCGCGCCUGCGUGGUAUCGUUUGCCUGAGAGCUGUAUAGCAAAAGCUGUAAAGCUGUAUAGUUUAGCAAAGGUGGCGCCCCCUCGGUACAUGUAAAGGUAAAUAUUUUCAAAAAUAUUUCACCACCAUCGCACAAACCCAAUUGAUUCAAAUAGGAAUUAGGGGACAACGGAGAUUUUUUAACUUUUCAAAAAUCGUAUAAAACAUUGUCAAUCAGACUAGCUGUUAAUACUUUUGAAUAGAAAUCACAUAAUAAAUUACUAUAAAAUUUUAGACACAUCUACCAAAAAACAACCAUGCGAUCCAUCAGUAAAUAAAAAGUGUGGUAAGUUGGAGCAAUACAAGAAACUCACACAAAAAUGUAAUUACCUUUCAGUUUUCGAAGCCGAUUCAUCAGAUGGAACUUCAUAUUGUAAUAUGGAUGCGAACAAAAAAGACCCGCGUUGCCCAGGUACACAUUGAUUUCAAAAACUGAUCGUUUUCAGAAAAUGUUUUUUUUACAAAAAAAUGAAUAAGAUCUCUCAGUUUUUGUAUUUAUAUUGAAUAAAUUCUAUAAUUUUCAAAUGAGAACUCGACAAUUUUUAAAGAAUAAUCAAUUUUUUUCAGGGAGUGAACCAGGUGAUAAUUGUCUCAAAAUCACUGAUAAGGACUGUCAUUUCCGUAAGUUAUUCUUGAACAUAUUCCCUAAUUUAUAAUUUCAGCACUCAAACAGGAGGAAAUUAAUCAAAAGUGUCAGGAUUUUAAGCAAGAUCACAGGUGUCCGGGUAGGAAAUCAGUCGUUUCAUUAUAUUCAUUUCAUAAUAUACGUCUAUAUUUUUAGGAACGAUCUGGUACUGUACUAUCGCACCAAAGCAUGCCGAUAGGAACUUGUGCAAUAAUGUCAAUACAACACAUGGUUUGUUAUCAGGAAAAUCGAUAAUUUAUCCUGCUGAUUUUGAAAAUAACUGUUUUAAGCCUAUGCUUCUAUCAGGAUUUCAGAAAAUUUUCGUCGUUGUACAGUGAUUAUUUCUAAUGUCAAUCCAUCUGAAUCUAUCUCUGAAAUAUUUUAAUUCUCAGGCAGCAUGCUCUUUAGAACUUAUUGAUUUUUCAGAUCCAGAAGUGUGUUAUGCAGCAGGUGAUCCUGCGUGUGUAAAACGUAAGUUUAAUAGUUUUUUUCUGUACUUUGAAUAAAGCUUUCAAUUUUCAGCUAUCCCACCGACAGCAUCAUAUGGCACGGAUUUCUGCAAAAAGUAUACCAAUGAUUGCCAAUGUUACUCAAUGCGUCUUGGUAUUCAACAAAUUUUCUAAUUUCUGAAAAGUCGAUAAAAUAUACUUUUCAGGAUUCUUGCCUAUUUAUCCAAACCGCGCACUCUGCAAGUUGCAUCACGCUGAAAUAAAGAAAUGGAUUUGGGCAUGCGUUGUAAAAAGUGGUGUGUUAUUCUGCCAAAAAUUGACAAUGUGAUUCUAUUAUUGAAAAAAAUAAUUGCAGGGGAUAUUGGUGCAGGGUGUUACAAAGACACCGACCAUGAUUGCAAUCACAAUACGAGUAUGACAAUUUUCUAACUUUUUAUUCCAAAAAUAUUUUUUAAGCAAUGACUGAGGCAGAAGCAAAAUACCUGUGCAUUGAUGAAUUUGAGUUUAGAGACUUGAGAUGUCCUAGUUUGUUUUAAUUUUUCACAAUUCGAUAAAUCAUUCACUUUUUUUAGGACUCUCUGGUGAAGGUUGUGACAAGCCUGUUGAUGCCGAUUGCAGUAUGUUUUGAAUCUUCAAUUUCAUUCAAAUUGUUAAAAACUCAAUUUACAGCAACGACUCCUGAACCCACAACCACGGUGACAACUACAUUCCCUACUACUUCGAUGAAGGUAUAAAAAUCAGCGAAGCGCAACAAUAUCAGUAUUUUCCUGUCCUAUUUGCUUCAAGUUUUUAACAUUUUCUCUUUUUUUCUCACAUCUAAAACAACCGGGUUUUUGCUGCGAGACAUAAAAACUUAAAUUUUUCAAAAACGAGGACAUCUUUCAGAGGAGACCGCCACCACCACCGCCUCCACCAAUACAUGAAGCGCGACCAGAGGUUGGCAAUUCGAAUCAACUCAGAACAACUGCAGCAUCUAGGAAGGAUUUUGAG